Molecule: long non-coding RNA, 688 nt
Filed under: Olea europaea subsp. europaea
Lineage: Eukaryota; Viridiplantae; Streptophyta; Magnoliopsida; Lamiales; Oleaceae
Source: RNAcentral
CACAGCACACCAUCACUGCACACUACGACCGCACCCAAUAGCAGCACACAACUUGAUUCACUUUCAUCUAUUGACCUUGGCAAACACGAACACUGCCUACUAAAUUCCACCAUUUCUUUCGAUCACCACCACCAUGACUAUCACACAUCACUACUGCCACCACCACAACCGCCUGCUCAAACACCAUCCACCACCUCCACUUGCAACUCUAAUAACCACCGCAUAACCACAACCACUGCCUGCUAAAGUCCACAAUUUCUUCCAAUGCUACAGCACCCAUAGAAACCAUCCAACCUCAAUCAAACCACAGCGCAAAAAAUCCUUAAAACCACCGUACCAGCACACCAACUAGAAAAACAGAUGCAAAAAAUGAGGGGAGAGAGAGACGACGAGCUUCGUGAUGGGCCAUCCCCACACCAACUCUAAUCAACCGCAUGUCACUGCUUACGAUGGUAAGGUGCUGGGGCAUCACGCACGAUGGUCGGUGGUCGAUUCUUUGCCCGUCACUGACACACACGAGCUUCGUGAAGAGUCACCGGAGCUUCUCUCAGAUCGACACAUGUCGCGGCAUUGGCGCUUGUUGUGGCAUCGAGUUCGUCUUGCACCGACGCUAGUCAUGACAUUAGAAUUUGUCCCGGUCAGAUUUAGCAAAGCCAAUCCCGAUAGAGAGAAGGUAGAGAGAAAGGGG